Molecule: transfer RNA, 71 nt
Filed under: Stenotrophomonas phage vB_SmaS-DLP_6
Lineage: Duplodnaviria; Heunggongvirae; Uroviricota; Caudoviricetes
Rfam family: tRNA
About the family: Transfer RNA (tRNA) molecules are approximately 80 nucleotides in length. Their secondary structure includes four short double-helical elements and three loops (D, anti-codon, and T loops). Further hydrogen bonds mediate the characteristic L-shaped molecular structure. tRNAs have two regions of fundamental functional importance: the anti-codon, which is responsible for specific mRNA codon recognition, and the 3' end, to which the tRNAs corresponding amino acid is attached (by aminoacyl-tRNA synthetases). tRNAs cope with the degeneracy of the genetic code in two manners: having more than one tRNA (with a specific anti-codon) for a particular amino acid; and 'wobble' base-pairing, i.e. permitting non-standard base-pairing at the 3rd anti-codon position.
Source: Rfam by way of RNAcentral
UGCUUCGUAGCUCAAAGGUAGAGCAACCGGCUGAUAACCGGUCGACACUGGAUCGUUCCCAGUCGAAGCAA